Molecule: long non-coding RNA, 631 nt
Filed under: Homo sapiens (human)
Lineage: Eukaryota; Metazoa; Chordata; Mammalia; Primates; Hominidae
Description: HSALNT0306991
Source: RNAcentral
CUCCCGCUCCCGCUCCGCUGGCGGCCGGGGAAGUUCCCACCAAAGGAGUCAGGCCGCUUUGUGUGUGCUUUCGGGGCCACCGGCCCUGGUUCUCCUCCUCCCUCCCUGCUCGCCCUGCGCCUUGGCCCCAGACGAUCAGGCUUGCCGGAGGACGCCCCCUGGGGACCCCGAGGGCGGGGUCGUUGAACGGCCGCCAGGUUCUCACAUUCAGAAUUCUCCUGCCACCAAAGAGAACCUGAAGUUCAUUUACAAGUUGACGAGCGGGAUACCUACAUGGUGUCCCUUUGCAAGACGCCAGUUAGAAAAUAACCCAAGUUGAGCCAUCAAUGUGAUUUUGUCUUUGGGAACCCCACAUGUGAAUGAAUCACCGAAUGAAUGAAUGAAAUUUUAAUCCUUAUAACAAAGAUAAGGCUGGAUCCUAAUAUAUUGCUUUAGGAUGAUUUUCAGGAAGCUCUACAAUUCCAAGCAUUUCCUCUCACAACAAUUUAAUAAAAAUAGUUAGAGUUUAUGGAGAUAUUGUGUUCCCAUAGAUGUUGUAUGAAUUUAACUCUGCAUGUGAGAUAUUUGCUGCACUAAAAGAAAGACUUAUGGAGUCUCACUCUGUCGCCAGGCUGGAGUACAGUGGCAUGAU